UACGUAGGGUGCGAGCGUUGUCCGGAAUUAUUGGGCGUAAAGAGCUUGUAGGCGGUUUGUCGCGUCUGCCGUGAAAAUUCGAGGCUCAACCUCGAACUUGCGGUGGGUACGGGCAGACUAGAGUGUGGUAGGGGAGACUGGAAUUCCUGGUGUAGCGGUGAAAUGCGCAGAUAUCAGGAGGAACACCGAUGGCGAAGGCAGGUCUCUGGGCCACUACUGACGCUGAGAAGCGAAAGCAUGGGGAGCGAACAGGAUUAGAAACCUAGUAGUCC
This 272-nucleotide ribosomal RNA is filed under the name uncultured prokaryote. Its description in RNAcentral is "partial 16S ribosomal RNA". It matches the Rfam family "Bacterial small subunit ribosomal RNA", at positions 524 to 796 of the family's 1533-position model. The record is from RNAcentral.